CCCGUCCGAGUCUUCAUCAAGCCUUAACUAAUUUAUUAUCAACCAAACGUGGCAGAUGGAUCAAUAUGUAGUCCAUUUCAACAAGUUAUGAGGGUGGACAUGGUCAUGUGCAGUGCAGUGAUGAAGAGGAUAGGGACGACGAAAAUUCUUCGCAAGAGGCGUGCAUGGGCACUCCCCAUGUGCAAUCAUGAAGAGGAUGCAUGACAGGCGAAGCUUCUUCUGGCCAGCCGCCGCGCUCCAGAAUUCAACGGCCAAGACUAGUGCAGGCUUAAAUUGUUCCAUAAAACGGCGGCACUCGGCGCCUCGGCUCAUUCAUCCAACCAUGUCCACGCUGAGAGCGCGGUGUGCGACGGCCAUCCUGGCCGUCGUCCUGGCGGCGGCCGCGGUCGCGCCGGCCACGGCCGAGCAGUGCGGCUCGCAAGCCGGCGGCGCCAGGUGCGCCGACUGCCUGUGCUGCAGCCAGUUCGGGUUCUGCGGCACCACCUCCGACUACUGCGGCCCCCGCUGCCAGAGCCAGUGCACUGGCUGCGGCGGCGGCGGCGGCGGGGUGGCCUCCAUCGUGUCCAGGGACCUCUUCGAGCGGUUCCUGCUCCAUCGCAACGACGCGGCGUGCCUGGCCCGCGGGUUCUACACGUACGACGCCUUCUUGGCCGCCGCCGGCGCGUUCCCGGCCUUCGGCACCACCGGAGACCUGGACACGCGGAAGCGGGAGGUGGCCGCCUUCUUCGGCCAGACCUCUCACGAGACCACCGGCGGGUGGCCCACCGCGCCCGACGGCCCCUUCUCAUGGGGCUACUGCUUCAAGCAGGAGCGGGGCUCGCCACCGAGCUACUGCGACCAGAGCGCCGACUGGCCGUGCGCACCCGGCAAGCAGUACUAUGGCCGCGGCCCCAUCCAGCUCACCCACAACUACAACUACGGACCAGCGGGCCGUGCGAUCGGGGUGGACCUGCUGAACAAUCCGGACCUGGUGGCCACGGACCCGACGGUGGCGUUCAAGACGGCGAUAUGGUUCUGGAUGACGACGCAGUCCAACAAGCCGUCGUGCCAUGACGUGAUCACGGGGCUGUGGACUCCGACGGCCAGGGAUAGCGCGGCCGGACGGGUGCCCGGGUAUGGUGUCAUCACCAACGUCAUCAACGGCGGGAUCGAAUGCGGCAAGGGGCAGAACGACAAGGUGGCCGAUCGGAUCGGGUUCUACAAGCGCUAUUGCGACAUCUUUGGCAUCGGCUACGGGAAUAACCUCGACUGCUACAACCAAUUGUCGUUCAACAUUGGGCUCGCGGCACAGUGAGAUAGUAGGAGGAGAGGUGAUCAUGCGUGCAGAGAGGAACGUAUUCCUUCGCGAACCAAGGGGCAGAUAGAUUCGCGUUGAGGGAGCACAAAUCAUCAGCAUCUAGCUGCAAUGUGCCCUGCUGGACCACACACCACCACCUCUUCAUCUCCAAGCUCUCCUCUUCGUCGAUCCAGGAGCAGUAGACAGCGGCGGAGCCAGGGAAAUCGGAUGAGGACGAAUUGAACUUCUUAAACUUAGUCAUCCUGACAUGACACAACACAACACAACAUCAUCACUACAACAGAUGGACGGAAAAUGCACUUGGAGGCAGACUUCAGAGACACUGAAUUUGAUGAUCAAAGGCAGGACAUGACAAAAGAACAGAAAAGGUUCAGCCUUGACAAUUGUCUGAAUAUCAUGAUCAGAGGCAGAUUCAGUUCCACGACAUCACAAGAACAAAAAAAGAGUUUCCUUCUCUCUUGUUCCGUCAGAAUUGUACACACUAUCACACAAGAACAGUGUUUCAAACUAAUUUCACCUCUUCUUCAGAGCAUCCCUGAAGAAACAGCUCCUACUGCCAUUUCUUUCUGCAGAAACUUACUACUGCCAACCUGAAAAGACACAACAUCUAACAGAUAGAUAGAUAGAUAGAUAGAUAGAUAGAUAGAUAGAUGCAAAUUGGAUUCACGCACGAAUACAAGAACUUUCUUUCGACCAACUUACUUAUGUCUGACUCAAAUUUUAUCAAAGGGCAGUUUCAGCUCCAAAACAUCACAGAAGAACACAAAUGUUUCAGACACAAACCCUUCUCAGUAAAUGGCUACAUAGGCUAUCAGGUAAAGAACGGCGGGACCAUCUGGUCCGUCUCACCGCCUGUUCUGUUCGCGGCCGGCGAGGUGGUUCGCCUUGGCCUGGCCUAGUGGCUAGCGGUGUCCCGAAGCGUCUACCUGGACCGCAAAGUGUGUGUAGAGGCCAAGCUCCAUUGAGCUCGUUAUUUUUUCAGCGAAAAUACCUUUUUCACAUCUCAAAGAAAUCUGAUUAAAGGGUUUCAUGUAGACAUAUAUUUGUAGUAUACAUGUAUAAAAUUUCAUGAACAUAUAUACAUAAAAAAG
This 2388-nucleotide ribosomal RNA is filed under the name Triticum aestivum (bread wheat). RNAcentral's name for it is "partial small subunit ribosomal RNA". The record is from RNAcentral. Lineage: Eukaryota; Viridiplantae; Streptophyta; Magnoliopsida; Poales; Poaceae.